UCAUGACAUUAAACAAUAAAGAGUGGACCCAAGCCCAUCGCUACGUUUUAUUCAAUUCUGAAAACAUCAACCGCUUUCGUGAGAUGCACAAAAGAUUGAUAGAGGAUGAACUUCGAAAAGGCCACAAUCGUAACGUUUCCGAUGCCAUUAUAUAUAAGCACCACAUGGAGAAGUUUUGUACUUGGUUUGGGGGUCACGUGAUGUCCCUCACUGGUGCUGAUAAGGAAA
This is a long non-coding RNA of Quercus robur (English oak), 228 nucleotides long. RefSeq lists it as uncharacterized. The record is from RefSeq and is a predicted model, not a curated record. Lineage: Eukaryota; Viridiplantae; Streptophyta; Magnoliopsida; Fagales; Fagaceae. The transcript is spliced from 3 exons.